UUACUAUUGGAAGUGAAGAAAAAGAGUCCUAAGAUGAGCUCAGGGAGGACAGAAACCUCCCAUGGAGAAGAAGGGCAAGAGCUCGCUUGAUCUUGAUUUUCAGUAUGAAUAAAGACCCUGAAAGCAGAGCUUCACAUCCUUCUGACCUUUGGGGUUUUAAGCAGGAA
This 167-nucleotide non-coding RNA is filed under the name Ovis aries (sheep). Its description in RNAcentral is "Eukaryotic large subunit ribosomal RNA". It matches the Rfam family "Eukaryotic large subunit ribosomal RNA", at positions 2635 to 2802 of the family's 3401-position model. Lineage: Eukaryota; Metazoa; Chordata; Mammalia; Artiodactyla; Bovidae. The record is from Rfam by way of RNAcentral.